This 510-nucleotide ribosomal RNA is filed under the name uncultured bacterium. RNAcentral's name for it is "partial 16S ribosomal RNA". It matches the Rfam family "Bacterial small subunit ribosomal RNA", at positions 28 to 507 of the family's 1533-position model. The record is from RNAcentral.
GACGAACGCUGGCGGCGUGCUUAACACAUGCAAGUCGAACGAAGAGCGAUGGAAGCUUGCUUCUAUCAAUCUUAGUGGCGAACGGGUGAGUAACGCGUAAUCAACCUGCCCUUCAGAGGGGGACAACAGUUGGAAACGACUGCUAAUACCGCAUACGAUCUAAUCUCGGCAUCGAGGAUAGAUGAAAGGUGGCCUCUACAUGUAAGCUAUCACUGAAGGAGGGGAUUGCGUCUGAUUAGCUAGUUGGAGGGGUAACGGCCCACCAAGGCGAUGAUCAGUAGCCGGUCUGGGAGGAUGAACGGCCACAUUGGGACUGAGACACGGCCCAGACUCCUACGGGAGGCAGCAGUGGGGAAUCUGCCGCAAUGGACGAAAGUCUGACGGAGCAACGCCGCGGGAGUGAUGACGGCCUUCGGGUUGUAAAGCUCUGUUAAUCGGGACGAAGGGCCUUCUUGCGAAUAGUGAGAAGGAUUGACGGUACCGGAAUAGAAAGCCACGGCUAACUACGUG